Molecule: transfer RNA, 71 nt
Filed under: Didelphis virginiana (North American opossum)
Lineage: Eukaryota; Metazoa; Chordata; Mammalia; Didelphimorphia; Didelphidae
Description: tRNA-Trp
Rfam family: tRNA
About the family: Transfer RNA (tRNA) molecules are approximately 80 nucleotides in length. Their secondary structure includes four short double-helical elements and three loops (D, anti-codon, and T loops).
Source: RNAcentral
AAAGGCUUAGGAUUAAUAUUAGACCAAAGGCCUUCAAAGCCUUAAGCAGGUGAUAAACCACCUAGCCUUUG